GCGGUAAUAGCUCAGUUGGUAGAGUGGAAGCUUCCCAAGCUUCAGGUCGCGAGUUCGAGCCUCGUUUACCGCU
RNAcentral lists this transfer RNA (73 nucleotides) under Candidatus Avimuribaculum pullicola. RNAcentral's name for it is "tRNA-Gly". It matches the Rfam family "tRNA". From Rfam's summary of the family: Transfer RNA (tRNA) molecules are approximately 80 nucleotides in length. Their secondary structure includes four short double-helical elements and three loops (D, anti-codon, and T loops). The record is from RNAcentral. Lineage: Bacteria; Pseudomonadati; Bacteroidota; Bacteroidia; Bacteroidales.